Crotalus tigris (Tiger rattlesnake) is the source of this 1101-nucleotide long non-coding RNA. RefSeq lists it as uncharacterized. The record is from RefSeq and is a predicted model, not a curated record. NCBI's taxonomy places the organism in Eukaryota, Metazoa, Chordata, Lepidosauria, Squamata, Viperidae. The transcript has 3 exons.
GAACAGGAGGAGGAGGAGGAGGAGGAGGGUUUGUGUUUUACUGAAUGGAAGCGAAAAAACCUCCUCGGGACGGCGCGAAGGCUGAAUCCGGCUGGCUGAGCCUCUUCUCUCGGCUGGGCCCAGUGCCCCGAGCAGCCGAAGACCCCGAGACCCCCUCCCCCUCCAGCUGGCAGGUGGCAAAGAACACCUUGAAUUGCACUGAGAAACAUAAAAGCAAUCAAGUCAGCUUGAACAGAGUAGCAUAGCUGUACCAUGUGUGACCCUCAGCAUGUGUGCUACUUGUUUUGGGUCAGCAAAGAUCAACUUCAGAAGUCUAUGCUGUGCACAUAACUGGAAGUAUAUUUGUGCAGGUCCACCCAGUCAGAAGACUACAAUUCUUUUUUCUGGGCAAGACUACUCUUUUGAAAGUCCUAUGGCAUUUUCCUGAAAUAGUUGGUCAUGUGUAUAUUGGCCAUGCUUAAAUUGGGACUAUUAUAUCACUCCACUAUGGAGUGACAAUAGAGAACGGAAUCCUUUGGGAUUUCAUAGUUUCUUUAUGAGAGGUCAAUUGACUGAGGUCUUGAAUGCUGCUUGGCACAUAUUCUAACAAGUCUAGAGCACUCCUCUUUUACUUAAUGUGGGUGGAGCUCAAAUGAUCUCAGCAGUGAGAUCAGUGAUUCAGUCAGGAAAUAAUCCUUCCUAGGUUUCCUUCCAAAGCAAAAUCCUUCUGUGCUGGGAACAAACCAUUACUUGUUUUACAGUCACACUCAUGUCCUAGGCAGCAUCAGUAAACCUCUCCACAAUUUGGCUUUAGAUUUUUCCAGAUUUUUCUGUGUCCAGUAAAUACAUUCUUUCUGCAUAGCUCUACUGCUGGAUCUUCCUACUCACUGUUAACCACAAACCACUCAUGAAACUCAUAAAAUUAUCUCUCCUCUCUGUUUCAUUUUUUUCUUCUCAUUAUAAAUCUCUCAAAGGCAUUUAAAAGUCCACAAAGUGUUAAUGUAAUGAAUUGUGCUCUGUUUCAAAAGCAAGUGCAUAUACAUGAUUCUUCCUCUGUAUUAAAAAAAAAUAAUACCCACAAAUUUAUUCAGUAUCAAAUACUUUCUCCGAAGAUAUGAAUAU